Molecule: long non-coding RNA, 1015 nt
Filed under: Nicotiana tabacum (common tobacco)
Lineage: Eukaryota; Viridiplantae; Streptophyta; Magnoliopsida; Solanales; Solanaceae
Description: long non-coding RNA (NTAB_LNC010456)
Source: RNAcentral
AAAAAAGGGGAUUAUCUGAAAAGAGAGAAAAAUAUCUGGAAAAGAGAAAAAGAAAAGAAAAGAGAGAACAGAUUUUAGAAGAAAAAGAAAAAGACUGAAAAAGAAAAAAAACUGGAAAGAAAAGAUCUGAAAAAAGGUAGGACAGACUUUAGAAAAAUCAGACAGGGAUUAGAAAAUUAAGGCUGGACAGUUAAGUGGAGAGUUGGAUAGCUUUGAGUGUUGAGAGAUAAAAAGAAAAUCAAAAGACAAGGCUGGAUUUUCAGGCCCUGAAUAGGCUAGCUUAAUUUCUGUUCAAUAGAGGUUUAAGAGAGACUUGGGAUUUCUGAACACAAAAUAUCAUAAGCAUGUUUCUUCCUGCAUCUGUUUUCUUCCUCUGAUUAUCCGGUUAUUUGUUGGGACACCAGCUGAGUUUUCAAUUUGGUCUUCUGAGUUCACUGGAUUUCUGUUUGGUUUAAAUCUGUUGGCUGGUUUCUCUACUGGUCAUUAUUGGAAUUUCUUGCUUGGUUUUAUUUGGUUUCAAACAUUUGUUUGGCUGGGUUGUUUGCUGUUGAGUGUUGCUUCUUUUGUUGCUGCUGUUGCUGUUGUACUGCUGCUGAUUAUUCUUCUUUCUUUUCGUUUUUUUAUCCAAACCAGGUAUUUAUCACCAUCUUGAGCGAUGUAUUGAUGUCAAAUUGAAUGAAGCCUGAUUGAGAGAGAACUUGAAGUGCAAAUGUUUACUACUGCUUUAGUUUCCCGUAUAGUUAGUGUCUGUUUGUAUUUAAGGCGGACUUUAGGACUGUGUAUCCUAAUGGAUUAAUGUUAGUCAUUCUUCUUGGUGUAAUGUAGCUGUAAUAAUUUAAUCAACUCUACCAACACGCUAAUUCCUCUAAGCAGUAUAUAGGCUAGUAUUUGAAUCCAGUUUGAUAAUAUCUGCUAGUAGUUAAUCUCGGUAGCCCCACUCAUCUAAAAACUCUUAUUUUAAACCAAUAAGAGAAUGGUUAGUUUUGUUCUAAUAUUUUUACAAACUUGCAAGAAC